This 73-nucleotide transfer RNA is filed under the name Bos taurus (domestic cattle). It matches the Rfam family "tRNA". Rfam says of the family: Transfer RNA (tRNA) molecules are approximately 80 nucleotides in length. Their secondary structure includes four short double-helical elements and three loops (D, anti-codon, and T loops). RNAcentral also lists the same sequence under 3 other names. Lineage: Eukaryota; Metazoa; Chordata; Mammalia; Artiodactyla; Bovidae. The record is from Rfam by way of RNAcentral.
UUGCUGGUGGUCCAAUGGGUAAGACUCUGCACUCCCAAUGCAUCAGGCCCAGGUUCGAUCCCUGGUUGGGGAA